This 252-nucleotide ribosomal RNA is filed under the name uncultured bacterium. Its description in RNAcentral is "partial 16S ribosomal RNA". It matches the Rfam family "Bacterial small subunit ribosomal RNA", at positions 524 to 776 of the family's 1533-position model. The record is from RNAcentral.
UACGUAGGGUGCAAGCGUUGUCCGGAAUUAUUGGGCGUAAAGAGCUCGUAGGCGGUCUGUCGCGUCGGCUGUGAAAACCUGGGGCUCAACCCAGGCCUGCAGUCGAUACGGGCAGACUAGAGUCCGGCAGGGGAGACUGGAAUUCCUGGUGUAGCGGUGAAAUGGCGCAGAUAUCAGGAGGAACACCGGUGGCGAAGGCGGGUCUCUGGGCCGGAACUGGCGCUGAGGAGCGAAAGCGUGGGAGCGAACAGG